Non-coding RNA from Mycena rebaudengoi, 93 nucleotides. NCBI's taxonomy places the organism in Eukaryota, Fungi, Basidiomycota, Agaricomycetes, Agaricales, Mycenaceae. The record is from the annotation of a GenBank genome assembly.
GGCUUGGUGGCGGAGUGGUCCGUGUCUGCGGUUCAUGCAGGCCCUGAACCAUAACAUAAGCAGAAGAUGCUUGUUCAAAUCAAGCCCGGGCCC